AGUGACACUGCGCCGAAAAUGUACCGGGGCUAAACAUAUUACCGAAGCUGUGGAUUGUCCUUUGGACAAUGGUAGGAGAGCGUUCUAAGGGCGUUGAAGCAUGAUCGUAAGGACAUGUGGAGCGCUUAGAAGUGAGAAUGCCGGUGUGAGUAGCGAAAGACGGGUGAGAAUCCCGUCCACCGAUUGACUAAGGUUUCCAGAGGAAGGCUCGUCCGCUCUGGGUUAGUCGGGUCCUAAGCUGAGGCCGACAGGCGUAGGCGAUGGAUAACAGGUUGAUAUUCCUGUACCACCUAUAAUCGUUUUAAUCGAUGGGGGGACGCAGUAGGAUAGGCGAAGCGUGCGAUUGGAUUGCACGUCUAAGCAGUAAGGCUGAGUAUUAGGCAAAUCCGGUACUCGUUAAGGCUGAGCUGUGAUGGGGAGAAGACAUUGAGUCUUCGAGUCGUUGAUUUCACACUGCCGAGAAAAGCCUCUAGAUAGAAAAUAGG
Molecule: ribosomal RNA, 485 nt
Filed under: Staphylococcus aureus
Lineage: Bacteria; Bacillati; Bacillota; Bacilli; Caryophanales; Staphylococcaceae
Description: partial 23S ribosomal RNA
Rfam family: Bacterial large subunit ribosomal RNA
Source: RNAcentral